RNAcentral lists this ribosomal RNA (474 nucleotides) under uncultured bacterium. RNAcentral's name for it is "partial 16S ribosomal RNA". It matches the Rfam family "Bacterial small subunit ribosomal RNA", at positions 28 to 507 of the family's 1533-position model. The record is from RNAcentral.
GACGAACGCUGGCGGCGCGCUUAACACAUGCAAGUCGAGCGGUAAGGCUCCUUCGGGAGUACACGAGCGGCGAACGGGUGAGUAACACGUGAGUAAUCUGCCCUUCACUUCGGGAUAACCACCGGAAACGGUGGCUAAUACCGAAUACGACCAGUCUUCGCAUGAGGUGCUGGUGGAAAGUCUUUUCGGUGAAGGAUGUGCUCGCGGCCUAUCAGCUUGUUGGUGGGGUAAUGGCCUACCAAGGCUUCGACGGGUAGCCGGCCUGAGAGGGUGACCGGCCACACUGGGACUGAGACACGGCCCAGACUCCUACGGGAGGCAGCAGUGGGGAAUAUUGGACAAUGGGCGAAAGCCUGAUCCAGCAACGCCGCGUGAGGGAUGACGGCCUUCGGGUUGUAAACCUCUUGCAGUACCGACGAAGCGCCCUGUCGGGUGGUGACGGUAGGUACAGAAGAAGGACCGGCCAACUACGUG